Molecule: non-coding RNA, 991 nt
Organism: Cricetulus griseus (Chinese hamster)
Lineage: Eukaryota; Metazoa; Chordata; Mammalia; Rodentia; Cricetidae
Source: RefSeq, a predicted model, not a curated record
CCCUUCCUCCUCCAGCGGCAGGAUGUGAGCCACCAGCAAGGAGGGACACCAAUAAGCCAAACACACCAACCAGGAGCCUGCUGGCACCAUGGCUCCAGGCAGUUGGGCACUAUAAUGAUCUCCUUGUGAUGAGGAAGCAUGGAUCAGCCUGCAUCAUGGUAACCUGAGUGAUACAGAAAGACUCACAUACAGCCCUAAGGCUGCCCAACCCAGGCUCCAAAGAGAAAAUGCAGGCCCACCCGAUACCUUGCAGCACCAGACAAAGGCCACUGCUAGAGUGAGCUGUUCCUGACCCCCCACCAGCUGUAACACUUGGAAGAGCAGGAUCUGCCCCUCACCAGGGCAGCACAAUACAGUCAACACUGUUAACACAGGUGCAGGAAAGGCAGCCCCUAACUUGUAACCAUGGGAAGGCUGUCCCCAUUUCCCAUCUGGCUGACCAACCUUUCGGAGCUGCCAAGUUCAGACCCAGGGUUAUGACUUGGCAUCCCCCAACAUCCACCCCAUCUGUGAUCUGCUGGAGCACAUGAGGGGACCUGACCUGCAGUCCCAAAGCUGCAGGAUCUCCACAACACGGAGCAGUAGAGGCAUAUCCAGGGAGAGUCCUGGUGGGGGCCCAGGGUUGAACGUGUAGUGGACAACAGGAACCUGGAACCAGACCAAUGACACUCUGCACUGAACACUUGCAAGUAGAGAUGUAUGUACAAAGAAGUAUGCGGAGUGACUUGUUGGGUUGCCCUGCAGCUUGCAUGGUGAGAUUUUUAAAUCCCUUCCUUUUUUAAAAUUUUAUUUUCUUCCUUUUUUCUCUUCAAUUUUGAUUUAUUUGUGGGAGGGGGGACUUCAGAGGAGGAGAGUAGAUGCAAAGGGAUGGGGAAUGAAUGGAAUCAAGAUACAUGAUGUGGAAAACACAUAGAGUUAAUUAAUUAAUUAAAUGUCUUCUCAUAGAAGCUGUUGUUUUGUAAGAACAUAAUAAAACAUUUCUUCUGUGCUA